This 255-nucleotide ribosomal RNA is filed under the name uncultured bacterium. RNAcentral's name for it is "partial 16S ribosomal RNA". It matches the Rfam family "Bacterial small subunit ribosomal RNA", at positions 524 to 776 of the family's 1533-position model. The record is from RNAcentral.
UACGAAGGGGGCUAGCGUUGCUCGGAAUCACUGGGCGUAAAGGGCGCGUAGGCGGGAUGGCAAGUCAGUCGUGAAAUCUCUCGGCUCAACCGAGAAACGUCGGGCUGAUACUGCCGUUCUUGAGGGAUGCAGAGGAGACUGGAAUUCCCGGUGUAGCGGUGAAAUGCGCAGAUAUCGGGAGGAACACCAGUGGCGAAGGCGGCUUCCUGGCCUGUUCUUGACGCUGGAGGCGCGAAAGCUAGGGGAGCAAACGGG